CAAGAAGGCCGGAGAGCGAGACUCCUGGCUCUGCUACAACGUCAACGGCGUCUGGGCGGUGCAGUCGACUGCCCUGAAGGGCAAAGAGCAGGGCCACAUGUUCUCGACGGACGCCGGCAUUGACUCACCUGAGCUCUGCAAAGGCUGGCAGUUGUGGAACGGCGAGUCCUGGCAGGCGCAGC
RNAcentral lists this non-coding RNA (182 nucleotides) under Heterocapsa rotundata. The record is from RNAcentral. Lineage: Eukaryota; Dinophyceae; Peridiniales; Heterocapsaceae.